ACCUAUCGGCAAAAAACACAAGCAGUUGUACUAACAUCAAACAGAUUUUUUUUUUUUUUUU
RNAcentral lists this unclassified non-coding RNA (61 nucleotides) under Bodo saltans. Lineage: Eukaryota; Euglenozoa; Kinetoplastea; Eubodonida; Bodonidae. The record is from RNAcentral.